AUGGAUCUUCUGGAGGUUUUCGUUCGACGGUGCAUCCAGCCACUCCAAUACCGGGGCCACCCGAUGUGGUUGUACUCUGGUACUGAAGACACCACUCGGGUCCAUCCAGAGGAGGUCGACGAUGCCACACUGGAGAGGUGGAUGACUGCCAUCACAGGGAACAAGGACAACCCUCAUGGGGCCAGGAGGAUCCCGCCACUCGACCAGUCUUAUGAAUCAGACAAGGCUACCACUGAGUUGUAUUCGAUGCCCAACGGGGCGCAAGCACAGACCGAGGAGGAGGAAGGAAGUGGAGGUGAAAGUCAGGAGGAGUGGGAAUCGGAUGGCGAUGAGGGUGAUGAAGAUGUAGGCUCCGAUGAGGAGGAGGAGGAAGAGGAGGAAGUUGCGCCUCCCCGUUCUGAAAGAAGGUCCAAGCUUGCCCAUGACCCUGCGGUCGAGCGCGGCAAGGGGGCCGCGCCUGUUGUGCAAUCGACCAAGCGUCCUCGGACGACCUCUCCGGCGCCGACUGAGAAAGCGCCGAAGCAAUCUCGAGUGGUGCCGUCGAAGCCGACGAAGGCUUUGCCAAAGAUGAAGAUGGUGAUUCCCACUAUUUCUAGUGCUGCUACUUCUGAUACCUCGGCCAGACCUGAAGAUCAAGAAAUGGAGGAUGCCGUCACUUCCAACCCUGGUAUGACCUUUGAAGUUUCGUUUUCAGUCGGUGGGAUCUUCGUUUUUAACUUUGACUCUUUUCUGCAGCUCCGUCUAAUAUCAUCAUUGAUCUUCUUGAUGAUGAUGAAGACGAGGCACCACUGA
This 792-nucleotide ribosomal RNA is filed under the name Triticum aestivum (bread wheat). RNAcentral's name for it is "partial small subunit ribosomal RNA". Lineage: Eukaryota; Viridiplantae; Streptophyta; Magnoliopsida; Poales; Poaceae. The record is from RNAcentral.